This 253-nucleotide ribosomal RNA is filed under the name uncultured bacterium. RNAcentral's name for it is "partial 16S ribosomal RNA". It matches the Rfam family "Bacterial small subunit ribosomal RNA", at positions 524 to 776 of the family's 1533-position model. The record is from RNAcentral.
UACGGAGGGGGCUAGCGUUGUUCGGAAUUACUGGGCGUAAAGCGCGCGUAGGCGGCUUUGUAAGUUAGAGGUGAAAGCCCGGAGCUCAACUCCGGAACUGCCUUUAAGACUGCAUCGCUAGAACGUUGGAGAGGUGAGUGGAAUUCCGAGUGUAGAGGUGAAAUUCGUAGAUAUUCGCAAGAACACCAGUGGCGAAGGCGGCUCACUGGCCCGGUACUGACGCUGAGGUGCGAAAGCGUGGGGAGCAAACAGG